Molecule: ribosomal RNA, 560 nt
Filed under: Salmonella enterica
Lineage: Bacteria; Pseudomonadati; Pseudomonadota; Gammaproteobacteria; Enterobacterales; Enterobacteriaceae
Description: partial 23S ribosomal RNA
Rfam family: Bacterial large subunit ribosomal RNA
Source: RNAcentral
GGGUUGUGAGGUUAAGCGACUAAGCGUACACGGUGGAUGCCCUGGCAGUCAGAGGCGAUGAAGGACGUGCUAAUCUGCGAUAAGCGCCGGUAAGGUGAUAUGAACCGUUAUAACCGGCGAUUUCCGAAUGGGGAAACCCAGUGUGACUCGUCACACUAUCAUUAACUGAAUCCAUAAGUUAAUGAGGCGAACCGGGGGAACUGAAACAUCUAAGUACCCCGAGGAAAAGAAAUCAACCGAGAUUCCCCCAGUAGCGGCGAGCGAACGGGGAGGAGCCCAGAGCCUGAAUCAGCAUGUGUGUUAGUGGAAGCGUCUGGAAAGGCGCGCGAUACAGGGUGACAGCCCCGUACACAAAAGCGCAUGUGCUGUGAGCUCGAAGAGUAGGGCGGGACACGUGGUAUCCUGUCUGAAUAUGGGGGGACCAUCCUCCAAGGCUAAAUACUCCUGACUGACCGAUAGUGAACCAGUACCGUGAGGGAAAGGCGAAAAGAACCCCGGCGAGGGGAGUGAAAAAGAACCUGAAACCGUGUACGUACAAGCAGUGGGAGCACAGGUUUACC